UUGGGUGGAGCGCUUCGCUUGUGCAAUAGAGGGCGGCUGCACCACAAUGAUCGGAGGACUGGCUGCUUUGAUUGUUCUCACUUCUGUGUCUCUGAUUCAAACGGCAGACAUUUCUCUUCAGAUCCCUCAGACUGAGGCAGAACUCGGUCAGGAUUUGACUCUGACAUGUCACGCGUCCGGGGAUAAAGUCGGGUUGUUUUUCUGGUACAAGAUGAAGUUUGGAUAUAUGGUCCAAACCAUCGCAGAAGGAGCUGUUCAUAAAGAAAUAACACUCCAGGGACAAUUCAACAACUCGAGAUUCAUCCUCACAAAAGCAGGUUCUCUGUUUCAUCUGAACAUAAAAAAUGUGAGCAAAGACGACGAAGGAGCGUACUUCUGUCAGUCAGGAGCAGCGUAUUCAAUGAAAUUUAAAGAUGGCACAAUUCUGGCUAUGAAUGAUCCUAAAAAGCAGCAGAAAUCGGAGACGGUCCUGCUGGUCGAAGACUCUACAGUUGAGAUGAGACAAGAACCGUUUAUUGUCAUCAUCCUCGGGAUACUGUUGGGUCUCUGCGUGAUUGUAAUCGGCAUCCUUAUUUGCUCAAGAGACUGAAGGACGGUGGCACAGUGGCGGUGAACUACCGGAUGUCUCGACAAAAGAAACAAGGGAGGAAAAAAAAAGAGACAGCGGCAGAAAUCAUCAGACUUCUGUUUGUGUGAAAUAAACUGUCAAGAGCCACUUCAACAUGUAUCGCAUUAAUAAAGAGUGUUCAGUCGACUGAC
Molecule: non-coding RNA, 759 nt
Organism: Acanthopagrus latus (yellowfin seabream)
Lineage: Eukaryota; Metazoa; Chordata; Actinopteri; Spariformes; Sparidae
Source: the annotation of a RefSeq genome assembly